RNAcentral lists this unclassified non-coding RNA (402 nucleotides) under soil metagenome. Its description in RNAcentral is "partial contains 5.8S ribosomal RNA, internal transcribed spacer 2, and large subunit ribosomal RNA". The stretch from base 1 to 121 matches the Rfam family "5.8S ribosomal RNA", at positions 35 to 154 of the family's 154-position model. The record is from RNAcentral.
GAUGAAGAACGCAGCGAAAUGCGAUAAGUAAUGUGAAUUGCAGAAUUCAGUGAAUCAUCGAAUCUUUGAACGCACCUUGCACCCUUUGGCUAUUCCGAAGGGUAUGCCUGUUUGAGUAUCAUGAACACCUCAACCCUCAUGGUUUGCCAUGAUGAGCUUGGACUUUGGGGGUCUUGCUGGCCUGUGGUCAGCUCCUCUCAAAUGGAUUAGCUUGCCAGUGUUUGGUGGCAUCACAGGUGUGAUAACUAUCUACGCUUGUGGUUUUCCACCAGGUAACCUUCAGCAAUGGGGGUUCGCUGGGGCUCAUAAAUGUCUCUCCUCAGUGAGGACAGCUCUUUGAACGUUUGAUCUCAAAUCAGGUAGGACUACCCGCUGAACUUAAGCAUAUCAAUAAGCGGAGGA